UUUUGGACAAUGGGCGCAAGCCUGAUCCAGCCAUGCCGCGUGUGUGAAGAAGGUCUUCGGAUUGUAAAGCACUUUAAGUUGGGAGGAAGGGCAGUUACCUAAUACGUGAUCGUUUUGACGUUACCGACAGAAUAAGCACCGGCUAACUCUGUGCCAGCAGCCGCGGUAAUACAGAGGGUGCAAGCGUUAAUCGGAAUUACUGGGCGUAAAGCGCGCGUAGGUGGUUAGUUAAGUUGGAUGUGAAAUCCCCGGGCUCAACCUGGGAACUGCAUUCAAAACUGACUGACUAGAGUAUGGUAGAGGGUGGUGGAAUUUCCUGUGUAGCGGUGAAAUGCGUAGAUAUAGGAAGGAACACCAGUGGCGAAGGCGACCACCUGGACUAUACGACACUGAGGUGCGAAA
Molecule: ribosomal RNA, 402 nt
Filed under: uncultured bacterium
Lineage: Bacteria
Description: bacterial SSU rRNA
Rfam family: Bacterial small subunit ribosomal RNA
Source: RNAcentral